Molecule: long non-coding RNA, 345 nt
Organism: Terrapene triunguis (Three-toed box turtle)
Lineage: Eukaryota; Metazoa; Chordata; Testudines; Emydidae
Exons: 2
Source: RefSeq, a predicted model, not a curated record
CAUAGAACUACCUAGAAAAUAUUAUUCCUUAGUGACUUCAGAACUUUUACAGAAUAUAAAAGGAAGAAGAGUUCUUAAGAAUGAACUGUCAACUUCUCGCUUUAUGUUCACAAGCAAGUAGACUGUGGACCCCAAUAUGUUUUACUACCUUUAAUCAGGGCUUGAGAAUACUGCUCACCAAAGGUGACUGGGGAAGUUUUAUGUGGUUGAAAGGUAUACAAUGAAUCACUUUCAUUAAAAGAAAAUAUUAGUCCGUAAUGCUGAACUAGAGCAAUCCAAACUGUUUUUUCUUACAUCUGCAGAUAGAGUGCUCCUUUGUCUCUUCUAGUGUGUGUGUGUGUGUGU